AGAGUUUGAUCCUGGCUCAGGAUGAACGCUGGCGGCGUGCUUAACACAUGCAAGUCGAACGAAGAUACUUAAAAUGAGAGCUUCGGCAGGAUUUUUAUUUAUCUUAGUGGCGGACGGGUGAGUAACGUGUGGGCAACCUGCCCUAUACUGGGGAAUAAUCACUGGAAACGGUGACUAAUACCGCAUGUCAUUACGGAAGGGCAUCCUUCUGUAAGAAAAGGAGUAAUUCGGUAUAGGAUGGGCCCGCAUCUGAUUAGCUAGUUGGUGAGAUAACAGCCCACCAAGGCGACGAUCAGUAGCCGGCCUGAGAGGGUGAUCGGCCACAUUGGGACUGAGACACGGCCCAAACUCCUACGGGAGGCAGCAGUGGGGAAUAUUGCACAAUGGGGGAAACCCUGAUGCAGCAACGCCGCGUGAAGGAAGAAGGUUUUCGGAUCGUAAACUUCUAUCAACAGGGACGAAGAAAGUGACGGUACCUGAAUAAGAAGCCCCGGCUAACUACGUGCCAGCAGCCGCGGUAAUACGUAGGGGGCAAGCGUUAUCCGGAAUUACUGGGUGUAAAGGGAGCGUAGGCGGCACGCCAAGCCAGAUGUGAAAGCCCGAGGCUUAACCUCGGGAUUGCAUUUGGAACUGGCGAGCUAGAGUACAGGAGAGGAAAGCGGAAUUCCUAGUGUAGCGGUGAAAUGCGUAGAUAUUAGGAAGAACACCAGUGGCGAAGGCGGCUUUCUGGACUGAAACUGACGCUGAGGCUCGAAAGCGUGGGGAGCAAACAGGAUUAGAUACCCUGGUAGUCCACGCCGUAAACGAUGAGUGCUAGGUGUCGGGGAGGAAUCCUCGGUGCCGCAGCUAACGCAAUAAGCACUCCACCUGGGGAGUACGACCGCAAGGUUGAAACUCAAAG
RNAcentral lists this ribosomal RNA (901 nucleotides) under human gut metagenome. RNAcentral's name for it is "bacterial SSU rRNA". It matches the Rfam family "Bacterial small subunit ribosomal RNA", at positions 8 to 906 of the family's 1533-position model. The record is from RNAcentral.